UACGUAGGGUGCAGGCGUUAAUCGGAAUUACUGGGCGUAAAGCGUGCGCAGGCGGUUUGCUAAGAGAGAUGUGAAAUCCCCGGGCUUAACCUGGGAACUGCGUUUCUAACUGGCAGGCUUGAGUGUGGCAGAGGGGGGUGGAAUUCCACGUGUAGCAGUGAAAUGCGUAGAGAUGUGGAGGAACACCGAUGGCGAAGGCAGCCCCCUGGGCUAACACUGACGCUAAUGCACGAAAGCGUGGGGAGCAAACAGG
Molecule: ribosomal RNA, 253 nt
Filed under: uncultured bacterium
Lineage: Bacteria
Description: partial 16S ribosomal RNA
Rfam family: Bacterial small subunit ribosomal RNA
Source: RNAcentral